This 481-nucleotide ribosomal RNA is filed under the name uncultured bacterium. Its description in RNAcentral is "partial 16S ribosomal RNA". It matches the Rfam family "Bacterial small subunit ribosomal RNA", at positions 28 to 507 of the family's 1533-position model. The record is from RNAcentral.
GACGAACGUUGGCGGCGUGCUUAAUACAUGCAAGUCAACUGAAGCAGUGGUAGCAAUAUCGCUGUGGAGGUGGCGCACGGGUGAGUAACACGUAGGUAAUCUGCCUUCAGGUCUGGCAUAACUCCGGGAAACCGGGGCUAAUUACAGAUGAUGCAGCGGCUCGGCAUCGAGACGGUUGUUAAGGCUAUGCCGCCGGAGGAUGAGCCUGCGGCUGAUUAGCUAGUUGGCGGGGUAACGGCCCACCAAGGCAACGAUCAGUGGCUGGUCUGAGAGGAUGAUCAGCCACACUGGAACUGAGACACGGUCCAGACUCCUACGGGAGGCAGCAGUAAGGAAUAUUGCUCAAUGGGAGAAAUCCUGAAGCAGCAACGCCGCGUGAGGGACGAAGGGCUUUUGCUUGUAAACCUCUGUAGUGAGAGAAAAAAAUCCCAAUCUUUGGGACAUGAUGGUAUCUCAAAAGUAAGCCCCGGCUAACUACGUG